GAAGUACUCCCUCCGUUCGCAAAUACUUGUCUGAAAAAUAGAUGUAUCUAGACUUAUUUAAUUAUAGAUACAUUUAUUUUUUGCAUUUGUAGGACAAGUAUUUUCGGACAAAGGGAGUAUAUA
This is a non-coding RNA of Triticum aestivum (bread wheat), 123 nucleotides long. The record is from Rfam. NCBI's taxonomy places the organism in Eukaryota, Viridiplantae, Streptophyta, Magnoliopsida, Poales, Poaceae.